AGGACUGACCAGCUCUGACUCCCAGCUGAGAAGGGAGCAGCACUAGGGGAGAGGAGGUGUAUUAGUGUGAUACCUGUCCCCCACUUUGCCUAAAGCCAAGGAAAGGAAAGAGGCCAGCGACAAAAAUUUCAGAACACUGGAGACGUCAUGCCCUACUUCAUUUCAAUUCCUGGCUGCAAAUUUACUGUCUACUAGCCAAUCGUUAGGCUACCCUGUUCUUUUAUUUCAGAGAGGCAUUCUACAACUUAUUUUAACUCUUAUUGGAGCUGAUACUCACCUGGUCAUUUGUCUGUUGUGCUGUCAUUUUGGAGAUGACUGCAAGAAGUGUGACACACCUUUUGCAUGCUUUUGGGAGGCUUUAAAAAGCAGGUGAACCAAGAGAGCUGGUGCUUGGAGCACACAGCAAGAGAAAGCUGACCUCACUUCAUGGGCAGAAGAAUCCCAGCUACCUGCAUUAUUUAGGACAACCAACAUUUUUUGAAGCUGAAUUGCAAUACGUAUUCUAGCAGAUUCCACAAGGACUUUCUUUGUUUUUGUAUUCUUUAAUGGAGUUUUUCAGUAUAGCUAUUAUGAAUGAAGUGAAAUCUGCUACUUGUCACAAAGUACGGUACUGCAGCAUACUUUCAAAUAUGUCUUCAAGCCUGAUGAGAUAUCUGCUUUUUGUCCACUUAAUUGUAGACAUAAAGGCAACAUCAACAUGUGUUCAUCUGUUUAUUUCUGAGGACUUCAUAUGCUCUUCAUACUGAUUUGACUUGAAGUUUUCCUAAAAUGCUUAAUGACUGAUGAACAGGAAGCACAACCAAGAAACUUUGCUUUCUUUCAUGGGGCCACUGGUUUUUUCUUCUGUUGACUAGCCUUUUCAUUUUGGAAUUCAAUGUAAUUUACAGUGCCUUUUCCCAUUGAAAUCUACAAAUCUCAAAGCUGCAUCUGUUGCCGAGUGACGAAAUUGCACAAUGUGAUUAUUUUGUUGACUGUAUAAGAAUCUACUCUUUGUAUUCAUGA
Heteronotia binoei (common prickly gecko) is the source of this 1002-nucleotide long non-coding RNA. RefSeq lists it as uncharacterized. The record is from RefSeq and is a predicted model, not a curated record. Lineage: Eukaryota; Metazoa; Chordata; Lepidosauria; Squamata; Gekkonidae. The transcript is spliced from 4 exons.